CCUACGGGGGCAGCAGUGGGGAAUUUUGGACAAUGGACGCAAGUCUGAUCCAGCCAUGCCGCGUGUGGGAAGAAGGCCUUCGGGUUGUAAACCACUUUUGUCAGGGAAGAAACGGCUCGGGUUAAUACCUUGGGCUAAUGACGGUACCUGAAGAAUAAGCACCGGCUAACUACGUGCCAGCAGCCGCGGUAAUACGUAGGGUGCAAGCGUUAAUCGGAAUUACUGGGCGUAAAGCGUGCGCAGGCGGUUAUGCAAGACAGAUGUGAAAUCCCCGGGCUCAACCUGGGAACUGCAUUUGUGACUGCACGGCUAGAGUACGGUAGAGGGGGAUGGAAUUCCGCGUGUAGCAGUGAAAUGCGUAGAUAUGCGGAGGAACACCGAUGGCGAAGGCAAUCCCCUGGACCUGUACUGACGCUCAUGCACGAAAGCGUGGGGAGCAAACAGGAUUAGAUACCCUGGUAGUCCACGCCCUAAACGAUGUCAACUGGUUGUUGGGAGGGUUUCUUCUCAGUAACGUAGCUAACGCGUGAAGUUGACCGCCUGGGGAGUACGGCCGCAAGGUUGAAACUUCAAAGGAAUUGACGGCNGNGNGNGCGAGACGACGACGAGGAGAGG
RNAcentral lists this ribosomal RNA (615 nucleotides) under uncultured bacterium. Its description in RNAcentral is "bacterial SSU rRNA". It matches the Rfam family "Bacterial small subunit ribosomal RNA", at positions 338 to 946 of the family's 1533-position model. The record is from RNAcentral.